This 5226-nucleotide long non-coding RNA is filed under the name Mytilus galloprovincialis (Mediterranean mussel). Lineage: Eukaryota; Metazoa; Mollusca; Bivalvia; Mytilida; Mytilidae. The record is from RNAcentral.
GAUAAGAUACGGCCGACGUAUAAAAGGGACUGGAUCAAAGUCUACAGGUAAUUACACACUUUUAACUACGGUGGAAGCUGUUUUUUCACAAAUAUGUGUGUUUCAAAUAUCACAAGUAAGUCUUAUACAUUAAUCGUAUUGAAGGGACUUGUACUUAUUAAACGUGCCUUUUUUUAUCAAGAAAUAAUCUAUAGUAUUAUAAAAUUUGCUAGCUGCUUAUCCUAGUUUCAAAUAUACCAUUAGUAUAUUCGUUUGGUUUUUUUAAGUUUCAUCACAAGCAAAUUUAUAUAUUUAUCCAGGUUCAUGUGUUUUUGUCACCUUAUACUUCAAUACUAUAAAAAAAAUUCUAAUAUGAAAAAAAACAAAUCUGGUUUCCCUAUCUUCCCUUUUUACUUUAACAUUAAUUAUUUAUAAACUACAAAAACAUGUCGCAGAAAAAGGCUAAUUAGUCCAGUCAAUCUAGCAUACAUUUAACCCUUACCUUGAGGUUAUUGCAACACAAGAUUUUUAAGUUUUAAUCUUUAGCAUUAUAACCCAUAAAUAGACAAAAAGUCCCAUCAAAUCUAACUUGAGGAAAACUAAAAAAUCAUGAUUAUAACAUUCCUAUUGAGAUUUACAUUGAUAUGAGAGAUAACUCUGCAAAAAAGGCAGAAAAAUCAAUAAAAAUUGAUACAAAAUUAUAACGUUAUCGAUUCUAUGGAACAGAUUGCGUUGCUUCCUGAUAUUUUAGCCGUGUUUAGAGUAUAACAAAUAACUCUAAAGGUGUCUUCAUAUCUUUUAUCAAGCUACAACCUAGAUUUCAUAAUUCAUUAGUUGACCAUUUGAUAGAUUUUUCAGCAUGUCAAGGUAGAGAAUCUCAAAUUAAAUUAAAUUGAUUAAGCAUAUGUAUUCCUCUUUUUGUGGUUUAAAGUUAUCUUUAUAAAACAAGGUAGAUGCCAAACAAAUAUAACUUACAGAUAUAAACAAUACCAAAUGUUCACAUUAUUAUUUAAAAAUGUCCAGAAAGCCAUAAAUUUUCAAUUUCAUUAAUGAAAAGUUACAAAAAAUAAUAACUAAAUCCAUAUCACUUAAGUUUGUACAUUUCAUGAGCAGAAGAUUAUAUAAUAUAGUCAAAUAUGAACUUAUUACCCAUCAAAGGAUCAUAUUUUACAUGAAUUUUAAGAAAAUCAACCAUUAGGUGACAAAAGACUAAUUUUUGCGGAGAUUUCUCCCUUUCAAUUGAUAAUUUCUAUAAGAAAUUCAAAGGACAAGGUACGAUAAGGCCGGUUUUUUGCGUCAAAAUUACGUCGAUUAAGACAACAAAAAAAGUGCUAACGAAUUUCUAAUAAAGAAAUUUCUGGGUCAUGUUGGUGCAGGCACUUCAAAACUAAAAACAGUACAAAACACCUGAAAAGUGAAUAAUAAUUACAUUAUUUGAAUAAUAACAGUUUAAUGAAGUUCAUUAUAACAAACUUCAAGCAUUAGGAAAUAUUUUAACAUAAUAAGUAGCUUUCAAAAACAAAAUUUGAAAAAUGAGAAAAUAGGGGGGUAAAAAACAGGCCUUGAAUUAUUCUUUAAGUUAGAUUUGAUGGGACUUUUGUCUGUGUAUGUUCAGGGCUUAAUGUUAUAGAUUAAAACGACAACAUUUUCUGUUGCAAUUAGUUUGACGACGGGUGCCACAUGUGGAGCAGGAUCUGCUUACCCUUCCGGAGCACUGAGAUCAACCCUAGUUUUUGGUGGGGUUCGUGUUGUUUGUUCUUUAGUUUUUUCUAUGUUGUGUCAUGCGUAAUAUUGUUUUUCUGUUUGUCUUCUUCAUUUUUAGCCAUGGCGUUGUCAGUUUGUUUUAGAUUUUUAGCGUUUGACUGUCCUUUUGGUAUCUUUCGUCCCUCUUUUAAACUUAUGUUUUAGUGGACUAAAUGGGUUUUUGCGUAACUAAAUGUUUUUUUCCCCUCAUAGUUCUGAAAAAAGACAUGAUUGCCGAUCAACAAAUUAAAUAAAAAAAACAAUAUUUUUUUUAUUUGAAAGUGAAUAUUAAAACAAUUCGACGUGUCAAUAUAUAAAUCGAUUAAGCGCAAUAUUUCAAAAUUAUGCUCAUGCAUACUUAUAAUAAUGCAUAUUUGUCUAAUUUCUGUCAAUAAUGUAUGGUGUUAUUUUGCAGCGACACCAUGUAGAAUGGUCACGAUAUAUUUGUAGUAUUAGACACAAUCUACUCUAUACUUUAUUGUUUGGCCUAUCUAGUUAAAAAAUAGUACCCCAUUAUUCUUUAUGACUUCAUCUCCAAUUGAUGACUGGGGAAUCACAAUAUGGUCAUCAUUGGUUUUAAUUUUUAUCACGUUGUUUAUUACUGUUGUUUUUUAUUUGUAAAUAAUCAAUUUGCUUUAGUCUAGAAUUUUAGUAUAUUGAAGCACUUUUUGUCUAAUUUUAAAAAUGUGCUUUAAAUUGUAAAAAUAUUCGAAUUAGCUCUCGCCGCGAUAUAGCAUUUUUGUGCUAAUGCGACGUAAAGCAACCAACAAUCAAUCAAUCAUUGGUUUUCGUUCGAACGGCAGUAAAACCCUUGUUAAAGUAGGAUUCGAUUCAGUUGUGCGGGAUGUACAUGUACAAAAUCACAGCUACAUCCGGUGAGAAUUGGCACGAUAUAUAUGAUGCCUCUUGAGAAAGCGUUCUACGCUUACUGUAUGAUUUGAACCCUUGCAACAACUCUUUUUGGUAAUUCGUAGGUGGCCUGUUAAAAGGAAAAAUGAAUCACUCUAUCCAAUUUACCCUUCUUUUCCAGUGGUAGUAUAAAUUUCAACUUUCACUACGCCACUAUCACAGGAACAAUUGUGUUUUUUUUUUUUUGUAUUCAUCUCUCAUCCUGAACAUGAAAAUAAUCUGUUUGCUAGUUAGUCCGAUAUUACUCUGACGUCUAACGGCUGUUUUGCCAGACACGCUGGGGCCGUGGGACGUCAGAGCUCGUCCCAUAUCAAAAAGUGGAUAUUUGCCCACCCAAAAUAGAUGCACUGCUUCGUCGCUUCUGUUGCCGACUGACGGCCUUGGAAUUUUCUAAAUCGGGCAUCAAAUUGAUCAUUUUUCAUUUAUCUCUUCAUUUAUGUAAGUUUCACCUACCUGCCAACUUUUAUUUUUCCAUAUUUAUGCCAUUCGGCACCAGAAGCGACGAAGCAGCGCAUCUAUUUUGAUACGGGACGAGCUCUAUUCAAAUAAUUCUCUAUACUGUAAACAUUAAUCAGACGCCGAUCAGCUGACACUUUUGUCAAUAACUGCACCUUAAAUGCGUUAAAUAAUACAUUAGAAGCGAAUGGUUACAUGUGGUAAAACGCAAUAACUUUUCUGAUUUGUCAUACGACGUUGACAUUGAAAUGGUUAUCUUAUAUACGAUAAACUGGGAAAAAAAUAUAAUGAAUGUAGCAAACCAAUUUAUGAUUUCUAAAAAAGAUAGGGGAAGAAGUAGCAUGAGUGUCGUUGAGUCAAAUAUCUACAAAGGUAAACAAAAACGAUGUACACAAUUGCAUACCACCAUAUGACCGUAAACACACAACCUAUAUCGUUUUCUAAGUAAUGAAAGGCUUGGGAUGGAAAAAAAUGAGAUCCAAUUUAAAAAAAAAAAACAACGGCCUGGUUAAAACUUAAACAUAAAUUAAAACUGAACUUGCUGUUUGUUUUUUUCCCAAUAUUUAUGUUGUAAAAAUGAGUAAUAUAAAAGUCAAUUGCAUUUAUAUUUUUCAUUCAGGACUUAGAAAAUACAAGAGCCAUAUCAUACUGGCAAAUCUAUUGUGAGUAUUUUACAAAGUUAAAUGUGUUGGGCUGUGUUGAAUCCAAACUUUUACAAGGGUAUAUGAGUAUGUUCAUCAUUGUUGUUUUUGAUUUUAUAUCCGUUAGAAAAAUAAAUAAAGUGGUGACUGUAUAAUGAAUGAUAUGGUAAAUUAAUACGCUAACCAUUCGUGUGAUUAAAUUGUCACAUCUGAUGCCUAGUGUAAGUAUUGUAGGAAUAAAAAGAAGGGUAGGUGCAGAUAGAAUAAAAAAAAGGGUAGGUGCAGAUAUUGUCACACUACAUUUAUGAUGGUAAUCUUGUGCCAAUUUUGCAGAACAUGCCAAUCAUAUUGAUUGAUUCGAAACCAUACACAUGUCCGGUGUCCGUCUGUCUGUCCGUCUGUCCGGCGUAAACAUAUCGCACCGUAACUUGAGAACGACUUAUCCAAAUUUCAUGAAACUUAAUAUAGUUGUUUCUUAUGAUGGUCAAAUGAUCUGUAUACUUUUUGGUGAAAAUUGGAUUUAAACUUUUUGAUUUACGGCACUUUGUAACUAAAACAGGGAUGUGUUUUUUUUCACAUGUCGCACUGUAUCUCAAAAACGAUUCUUGAUUAUGGCUUAAAAAUUUAAACACUUCUUAGUUAUAUUAAUCUUAAUAUCUGUAUACUUUUUGGUGAUGAUUUAAAAUUUAAUUUUUUGAGUUAUUGAGUAUUUUGUAAAAAAAGGGGGAGGUUUUUUUUACAUGCCGCGGCAUAUCUCAAAGUCGAUUGAUGAUUAUUGCUACAAACUUUACACAUGCCUUUGUUAUAUUAAUCUAAAGAUCUGUAUACUUUUUGAUGAUGAUUAAAAAUUUCAUUUUUGAGUGAUUGAGUAUUUUGUUAAACACGGGAGGUUUUUUUUACAUGUCGCGUCGUAUCUCAAAAAUAAUUUAUGAUUAUUGCUUAAAACUUUACACACUUCUUUGUUAUAUUAAUCUAAAGAUCUGUAUAGUUUUUGGUUUUGAUUAUUGCAUAUAACUUCCACAUAAGACGUCGGGCGUAUCAUGCGCUCAUGGCGCAGUUGUUUAUUAAAAAUCAACAGACAACAUUAACUCAUUUGUACAACAUGUGAUGUAGCAUUAAUCAAUUGAGUGCAAACUAUAAAAAUAUCAUCCUUUUUUAAUGUGUUCUAUAUUUGAUUUAGCCCUUAUUACUUAAUUGAGAAACAUGAUAUAUCGUUUGUAUUCUAUUGUAGGUUCGAAAUGAACAUUGUGAAAUAACGUCUCGAUGGGAGACGAUUAAGCCAUGAAAAUCUUCGUCUGGUGGAGGAACGACGUUUAUAUGACCUACAAAAUAUUUCCACGUUUCACAAGUGUCGUAUCGACUUUGUCAAAGACUUGCUUGGUUUUUUAUUUCUUAUUAUAUUUUUAAAAAGUUAUUAUAGUCCAAUGUCAUGUUUAAUAUAGUAUAAAUUAUAUAAUUUUUUCAACUGCAAUUUUACAGAUAAAAUAUUUGUUAUUAA